UACGGGAGGGUGCAAGCGUUAUCCGGAUUCACUGGGGUUUAAAGGGUGCGUAGGUUGGUUUUGUAAGUCAGUGGUGAAAGCCCGGAGCUCAACUCCGGAACUGCCAUUGAUACUGCUUAACUUGAAUCAAGUAGAGGUGGAUGGGAAUAUUACAUGUAGCGGUGAAAUGCUUAGAUAUGUAAUAGAACACCGAUUGCGAAGGCAGUUUCACUAUGCUUGUAUUGACA
Molecule: ribosomal RNA, 227 nt
Filed under: uncultured bacterium
Lineage: Bacteria
Description: partial 16S ribosomal RNA
Rfam family: Bacterial small subunit ribosomal RNA
Source: RNAcentral